CAUUUAUGAUGGUCAUGUACCAAACUUGAAUUUCUGUGGAAAGAGCCCUAGAGGAAUCUGGCUUCUAAGGGAU
RNAcentral lists this small nucleolar RNA (73 nucleotides) under Sorex araneus (European shrew). RNAcentral's name for it is "Small nucleolar RNA SNORD50 (ENSSARG00000018751.1)". The record is from RNAcentral. Lineage: Eukaryota; Metazoa; Chordata; Mammalia; Eulipotyphla; Soricidae.